UACAGAGGUCCCGAGCGUUGUUCGGAUUUACUGGGCGUAAAGGGCGCGUAGGCGGUCGUGACAAGUCACUUGUGAAAUCUCCGGGCUUAACUCGGAACGGUCAAGUGAUACUGUCGGACUAGAGUACAGAAGGGGCAACUGGAAUUCUCGGUGUAGCGGUGAAAUGCGUAGAUAUCGAGAGGAACACCUGCGGCGAAGGCGGGUUGCUGGGCUGAUACUGACGCUGAGGCGCGAAAGCCAGGGGAGCGAACGGG
This 254-nucleotide ribosomal RNA is filed under the name uncultured bacterium. RNAcentral describes it as "partial 16S ribosomal RNA". It matches the Rfam family "Bacterial small subunit ribosomal RNA", at positions 524 to 776 of the family's 1533-position model. The record is from RNAcentral.